CGCAUCUGUGCAUGCAGCAUAUCAAUAAGCGGAGGAAAAGAAACUAACAAGGAUUCCCCUAGUAACGGCGAGUGAAGCGGGAAGAGCUCAAAUUUGAAAUCUUAAAGGGUUUCCCUUUACGAAUUGUAGUUUAAAGAAGUGUUUUCUGUUGAGGUUUUGGUAAAAGUUCUUUGGAAUAGGACAUCAUAGAGGGUGAGAAUCCCGUAUUUGACCUUUACUUUCAACUUUGUGAUACACUUUCAAAGAGUCGGAUUGUUUGGGAAUGCAGUCCAAAAUGGGUGGUAAAUUUCAUCUAAAGCUAAAUAUUGGCGAGAGACCGAUAGCGAACAAGUACCGUGAGGGAAAGAUGAAAAGAACUUUGAAAAGAGAGUUAAACAGUACGUGAAAUUGUCAAAAGGGAAGCGUUUGACACCAGUGUUGUUUUUCUGAAAAUCAAUUAAAGAACUGUUUAUGCUAAGUUGUUUAGACUUUAUCAGCUAACUGUUUAGUUUUGAGCUUUUCUUUAAUGCACUUUUCAGUUAACAAGUCAACAUCAAUUUCUUUUGCUGUAAAAAAGCUUGAGGAAGGUGGCUUGAGAUUACGUCUUAAGUGUUUAUAGCCUCUUGCCUAUGCAGUCGGAGAGAUUGAGGUCUGCAGCGUAGAUCCUUCGGGGCUAAAUGCAUUUGUGCUAAGUUAUAGCAUUUUAUAGACAACUUGUUGACUAUGAUUUGUCUUGUAGCUUACUCGCUUAUGUUAUUUUACCUACGCUUAGGAUGUUGAGCGCAUGUCUCUCUCU
This 775-nucleotide ribosomal RNA is filed under the name uncultured Neocallimastigales. RNAcentral's name for it is "partial large subunit ribosomal RNA". It matches the Rfam family "Eukaryotic large subunit ribosomal RNA", at positions 26 to 616 of the family's 3401-position model. Lineage: Eukaryota; Fungi; Neocallimastigomycota; Neocallimastigomycetes; Neocallimastigales. The record is from RNAcentral.